This 253-nucleotide ribosomal RNA is filed under the name uncultured bacterium. RNAcentral describes it as "partial 16S ribosomal RNA". It matches the Rfam family "Bacterial small subunit ribosomal RNA", at positions 524 to 776 of the family's 1533-position model. The record is from RNAcentral.
UACGUAGGGGGCAAGCGUUGUCCGGAAUCAUUGGGCGUAAAGCGCGCGUAGGCGGCCCGGUAAGUCCGCUGUAAAAGUCAAAGGCUCAACCUUUGAAUGCCGGUGGAUACUGUCGGGCUAGAGUCCGGAAGAGGCGAGUGGAAUUCCUGGUGUAGCGGUGAAAUGCGCAGAUAUCAGGAAGAACACCUAUGGCGAAGGCAGCUCUCUGGGACGGUACUGACGCUGAGACGCGAAAGCGUGGGGAGCGAACAGG